Molecule: non-coding RNA, 146 nt
Organism: Gossypium raimondii (Peruvian cotton)
Lineage: Eukaryota; Viridiplantae; Streptophyta; Magnoliopsida; Malvales; Malvaceae
Source: Rfam
UGUUGAAGAUUUCAUCUAUCUGUACUGUUUAAAACUAGCUUAGUUGAUGGAAUAACCAGAAAAUGACAUAUGAUGUAUCGCGUGUACCUCAUGCUGAUGUAUAGAGAUUAAUUUUUAACAAUGGAAAUAGAAUAAAAUUUUUAAUA